GCUGAGGCUAGAGUCUCGCCCGGGCAUGGUGUUGCCCCGGUGUGCUGGAGUCCUCAGAGAGCAGCUGCUGGCCUUAUUCGCUGGCUGUGGCCCCGUGGCCGAGCCAGUCACCAGGCCAGGGACAGGC
This is a small nucleolar RNA of Erinaceus europaeus (western European hedgehog), 127 nucleotides long. The record is from Ensembl. NCBI's taxonomy places the organism in Eukaryota, Metazoa, Chordata, Mammalia, Eulipotyphla, Erinaceidae.